Molecule: RNA transcript, 3131 nt
Organism: Stomoxys calcitrans (stable fly)
Lineage: Eukaryota; Metazoa; Arthropoda; Insecta; Diptera; Muscidae
Gene: sand
Gene name: TWiK family of potassium channels protein 12
Exons: 9
Source: RefSeq, a predicted model, not a curated record
AUUGUCUGGUGAUGCUGUUGUUAUUGUAGCCACUGCCAUUGUGACGAUGUGAAGAUUCGUGAAAAUAAAGCAGACGAAGCAUGUAUCUCAGUCAAAAAUUGAUCUGGCCUGGGUUGAGUGGCGAGGAAAUUGGAAUUAUACAUUUAGUAGCGGUUAGCUUACUCCUUGGAACGGUGAAAAACUAAUUUUUCCGCAUUGGCUUUGGCGUGGCGACGGACGGAAGAGAUACGAUAAAUGUGCGAAUAAUUGAAAAAAAAAAACGAUGUGAGUGAGUGCAUGUGAAGAAAGUGAAGAAGGCCUCAAAAAAAAGUAAAAGAAAUGAUGAUAAUGAUGGUCAUGAUGAUGAUGCUGAUGGAUAAGCGGCCAUAAGUUUAAAAAUAAAUGUUGUGUUUUAAUCUGAGUUUGUGUAUGCGCUUCAUGCGGAAAACUAGUGUUUUUACUUUGUGCAACUUUAAUGGCAUUUUUAUUAGUACAUCCACCCAUGAAUGGCAAUGCAAUUGUUAAAUAAAAAUAUGUAAAUAUUCACAAAAACAAAACCAUCAUCACCUGCCAACAUCAAUACCAUAUCUUCCAGAAAAAAACAAUUGUUUUAGUUUCCAAAAAAAAAAAAGAAAAAUUGCUAACAAAAAUGUAAAUAUGCUCGUCAUAAAAGUGUAGAAGUAAAAUUAGUGCAUCCCAACUACCAUCGAAAACCUCACCCAUUCUACCACCACAACACAACGUAACGCAACCCAACACACCAAACACCAACACCCCACGCUAUUCUUUCAUACCUUCCCCCGCCUAAUGCUCCAUAACGAAGCGAAGAAUGUUCAACAACAGGAAGACAAUAUCGAAAAAACUUAAAAUUCGCAAUCAAACAUCAGGAGGUGGCGGUGGUAAUGCGCAAAGUCUCCUGAAACCAUUUAGGAAAUAUCGAAGAAGAUACAAAUAACACACGGUGACGACAAGCGAUCCUUGUCCCUGGUCACUAAAGGUACCUCAAAAUGUCCUCCCGCCGCAGCUCGUUGCGUAGAAAAGAAAAACCUCCAUUCCAGAAAUUUAAAGAUCACUGCCGUAAAUUUACGGCAUUUUUAUUUAGCAAUGUCGGCAUUAUACUACUCGUCAUAUUCUACACCAUUGGGGGAGCCUUCAUUUUUCAAGCCAUUGAAAUAUUCGAAUAUGAACGUUACAUGGAAGCCAAUCCGCAAAAGAAGAAACUCACCGAAAAUGAUACAAUAGCCAUGUUUUUGGAUCGCAUAUGGCUGGAGACUUCAAAUAAUUUCAGUUUUGCCGGUUCACAUAAAUUCAAGGAGAGGAUCAAUGAAAUACUGGUGGAUUUUCAAAAUGAAGUUGUGGAAAUUCACAAACAGGGCGAUGAUAUACACAAGCAAUGGAGUUUUUCGGGUGCUUUUCUGUAUUCCCUGACUGUUAUAACAACAAUAGGAUAUGGCAAUAUUUCUCCCCGUUCCGAUUGGGGCAAACUGGCCACUAUAAUGUACGCCAUCAUAGGUAUGCCUUUAUUUUUACUCUAUCUUUCAAAUAUUGGCGAUGUUUUGGCCAAAUCUUUCAAAUGGAUUUAUUCAAAAGUUUGCCUAUGUCGCAUAUGCCCUGGAGUGGCGAAGAGACGAUUAUUGCGUGAACGUCGCAAACUGAGAGAAGAGCUGAUGUUCAGAGCUUUGGCUGAUAUGGAAGAUGCCAGACAUAGUAAAUAUACGUCCAGUAGUAGUACAAGUGAUAGUGCCUCCACAUAUUAUUCCGAGGAAUCGGAGAGUUCAUCAAGUUCUAGUCGGAGUCCUCGUCAUGAACGUGAGGGUGGAGAUCGUGGUUUAAGUCGCAUCGACUUGGAGGCUUUAAAUAUGUUCGAAGAGGAUGAUUCAACGGAAGUGGAGAAGGAAAUGAAGGGUAAUACAGAUGAAAUCACCGUUCCAUUGACUGUUUGUAUUUUCAUAAUGAUAAGUUACAUAUUAUGGGGUGCUAUUUUAUUUGCCCGCUGGGAGGAAUGGAAAAUUCUGGAUGGCAGUUAUUUUUGUUUCAUCUCAUUGAGUAGCAUAGGUUUUGGCGAUCUGGUGCCUGGUGACAGUCUGAUUACUACCGACAAGGACUCCGUUGGUGUUAGUUUCAUUUUAUGUUCGGUCUAUUUGCUUCUUGGUAUGGCUUUGAUAGCCAUGUGUUUCAAUCUAAUGCAGGAACAAGUCAUUCACAAUUUGCGUUCCUUUAAAAGGGCCUUCAAAGCCUGUUUCCGUUGCCGUCGUAAGGAAUAGUUUAAUUUUUACCCACGAGAGGGGAAAUAUUAUUUGUAAAUAUUUUAAACUCAGCACUAUCACAAUCACCACCCUAUAAGGAAUGUGUUCUCAAUUGUAAAAUUAAUUUAUGUAUGGAAAUAAGUGUUAAUUUCGUAUGUUAUUUUGCUUUUUGUUAUUUAAUGGUAGUUAGUGAAAAAAUAUAAAAAAUGCUAGCAUAGGUAUCUAGUCAUCCAUCCAGUUACGUUUAAGAUAACCCUCAAGAGCCUCAUCAGCCUACAGAUAUAGAUUUUUGGCCAGAUAUAGAUUUUUUUCGAAAUUUUUUAAUUUUAUCUACAAAAAUCUCUAGUCGAAUAGAAUUAAGACCACUGUGAACUGAAAUACGAAUCAAGAAAUAGAGAUUAAAAGUAAAAUACCCCUUAAUAGUUUAGAAUAAUUUGGAUCAUUCUUCUACACACUGUAUUGCUGAUGACAUAAUUACCAGGUAGUGUACCGUUAACAGCUGUGUACAAUUGUUUCUCCGGAAGUGCACUAUCUGUCAACGAGUUCUGGUUGUGUGUGUGUGUGUGUAUUAUAGUUAAGAACCAUAACACACCCAAGAAACGAAAAAUGGGGAAAAUUACCAACAUACUCAAAAUCAGAGUUGCAACAAUCACUGAUUUUGACAGAUAGUGUACUCAAUAUUUUGUUGUUGGGCAAUUGUCACAACCUGUAGAUGAAUAUAGCUUGGUAUUGCUCCAAAAUUACUCAGAACUUGAACAACAAAUCCCGUUAUUCUCUUAUUUAUUCGUUCGAAAUUUCAAAUUUAUGUAAUGCCAUGACAUCUCACGAAUUUCAAGAAGAUUAAAAGUGGUGCACCAAUGGAGACGCUUUGCAUAGACAACAGGAACCCACGAUGGUCACCAAGGC